CCUACGGGUGGCUGCAGUGGGGAAUAUUGCACAAUGGGCGCAAGCCUGAUGCAGCCAUGCCGCGUGUGUGAAGAAGGCCUUCGGGUUGUAAAGCACUUUCAGCGGGGAGGAAGGCGUUAAGGUUAAUAACCUUGUCGAUUGACGUUACCCGCAGAAGAAGCACCGGCUAACUCCGUGCCAGCAGCCGCGGUAAUACGGAGGGUGCAAGCGUUAAUCGGAAUUACUGGGCGUAAAGCGCACGCAGGCGGUCUGUCAAGUCGGAUGUGAAAUCCCCGGGCUCAACCUGGGAACUGCAUUCGAAACUGGCAGGCUAGAGGCUUGUAGAGGGGGGUAGAAUUCCAGGUGUAGCGGUGAAAUGCGUAGAGAUCUGGAGGAAUACCGGUGGCGAAGGCGGCCCCCUGGACAAAGACUGACGCUCAGGUGCGAAAGCGUGGGGAGCAAACAGGAUGAGAUCCCUUGUAGUC
This 464-nucleotide ribosomal RNA is filed under the name uncultured Klebsiella sp. Its description in RNAcentral is "bacterial SSU rRNA". It matches the Rfam family "Bacterial small subunit ribosomal RNA", at positions 338 to 795 of the family's 1533-position model. Lineage: Bacteria; Pseudomonadati; Pseudomonadota; Gammaproteobacteria; Enterobacterales; Enterobacteriaceae. The record is from RNAcentral.